ACCUUUCUCCUUUUUUUUAUUUCACUGUAGUUUGCAAAGAUCACAGAGGGCAUCAUGAUGUCACACGGCUGUUAUCUCUGCCUGUUGCUUUUAAGUGUAAUCCUGAUCGAGCCAUCACAAGCAGGCUGUAUGGAGCACUUCGAAAAAGAAGGAUUGCGAAAGGCAUUAAGUACGCUCCCAAAGAAUAUUCCUGUCAAAAUAAUGAACAACCCCGAG
Molecule: long non-coding RNA, 216 nt
Organism: Pelmatolapia mariae (spotted tilapia)
Lineage: Eukaryota; Metazoa; Chordata; Actinopteri; Cichliformes; Cichlidae
Exons: 3
Source: RefSeq, a predicted model, not a curated record